This 250-nucleotide ribosomal RNA is filed under the name uncultured bacterium. RNAcentral describes it as "partial 16S ribosomal RNA". It matches the Rfam family "Bacterial small subunit ribosomal RNA", at positions 524 to 773 of the family's 1533-position model. The record is from RNAcentral.
UACAGAGGGUGCAAGCGUUAAUCGGAGUUACUGGGCGUAAAGGGCGCGUAGGCGGAUAUUUAAGUCGGGUGUGAAAUCCCUGGGCUCAACCUAGGAAUUGCAUUCGAUACUGGAUAUCUAGAGUAUGGUAGAGGAAAGUGGAAUUCCCGGUGUAGUGGUUAAAUACGUAGAUAUCGGGAGGAACACCAGUGGCGAAGGCGGCUUUCUGGCCCAAUACUGACGCUGAGGCGCGAAAGCGUGGGGAGCAAAC